GCUACCUGCUUCUGCAGCAUAGUAGGUGGAUUUUCAGACACAAAAUUUACCUCUAAGGCCUUGAGAUUUACUGCAAUGACAAAUCUCUAAAUGGUAUUGACAUUCUAGGAUAUCAUGAACAGUACAUUACUAUGAGGAAAAUCAACAGAGAUGCCACUUAUCCGACAAACAUCUCCCAAGCCCUGGCUAUGAAAAAAAUCACUGGAGUUGGGAGCUGCACGAUAAUUUCAGAACUUUAAAUGGUACACACAAAACAAAGUAUGACCUCUACUCUUCAGCCCAUCGUCCUCUCCACCAAUCGUUGUCCAUGCCUGCAUCCUACUUGAAGUUCACCUGUGCCAAGCAUGUAACAGGAAAACCCAAAAUAGCAGUAGCUUGAACAACAUGGGGAUCUAUCUAUCUCGUACAAAACAAGUCUGUAGGUGAGCAACCGAGAGCUGAUAUGACAUUUUCUGAAAAGGACCUUCUUUUUCUACCCCACCACCCUAGAACAUGGCUUUCACUCUCAAAGUCAGCUCAUGCCCCAAGGGAGCUGCUUGAGCUUCACCAUCAUACCCUCAUUGCAGAUCAGAAGGAAGAUGACAGGCAGAAGAAAAUUCUUCCUUGAAGUCCCAUACAAAAUAACCUUUUCUUUAUUACAUGGCUGCAAGGGAGUCUGGGAAUUAUCAUCUUUAUCCCAAGUAGGCAUGUGCCCAUCUAACAUGAGGUUCUGUUACUAAGAAUAAAGGAGAAAUUAGAUGUAGAGGUAAACAAGUAGCUCUCCCUGACACAGAUGUAUAAGGAGAGAAGAGAAGAGGGGUGACAGCGGAUCCUUGAUGGUCAUCAACAUUUGAGAGAUAAGCAACGGACAAGGAACUCAUGGAGGGACUGAGAAGACGCCAUUAUAGAAAGAGAAGACAUUGUGGAAGAUAAGGUGUCAAGAAGGGCAAGGGGGAAGGUUUUUAAGCUAGGGGGAUGGCUAAUAGCAUAGGACAAAGCCAGAAAAAAAUGAUCAUUAGAGAUAAUUCAAUUGCCCAAAGAAAAUAGACAAUUGGAAAGCAAAACUUCGGGGACUAUUUCUUUUGUUAUACUCUGUCUGGGUACUCAGGAUCACCCUAAAAUCAAUAGUUACAUACAUUCCAUCUAAGGAAUAGAUGGCCCAAAGGGGCUAUUCUGCCAUAUUAACGUAUCAGAUGAGGCCUCCAUGUCUACUUAUGCUCACAGGCCAUAGCCACACAAUUCUGGGGCAUUCUUCAUGGCUUUGCCUUAAUUGCUCUUUGAAUUCUCAUGGUUUCAGGAGCACAAACACACUGAUCUUCAUAUAAGAGAUGAUUAGACCAGACUCAGGAAGAAAGCCAAGCACCUAUUCAUAGUGCAGCAUAAUAAGAAAAAUAACUAACAUUUAUUAAAACAUGUAUUACAUGCCAGGCACCGUGCUAACCUCUCAAUGAAUAUUAGCUCUGUGUUUGUGUGUGCAUGUGCACGUGUGCAUGUGUGCCUAUAUAAUUAACGUUUGUAUGUAAUUAAUUCUCAAAAUGUUCUAUGAGGCAUGCUUCCCCAGGCUCUUUGAUCUUGGACUUCCCAUGCCCCAGAACUGUGAGGGUUCUCUUGCUGGCUAGCAAAUGCCUGUCUUCUGGUUACAUCCACAUGUGGCAUUUCUUUGUUGCAUGCACACAGAGUGAGAUCCUGCACCUCCACCUUUUUUCAUAAGGGCAUUCAUCCCAUAAUGAGGGGCCCACACUUAUGAUCUUAUGGUCUUAUCUAACCCUAAUUGGCCCCCAAAAGAACCCACCUCCAAAUACCAUCAUACUGGGGAUUGAGGCUACAACAUAUGAAUUUUAGAGCAACACAAACAUUCGUUGUAAAGCAGGCAGAUAUUCUUAUCUUCAUUUUACAGGCGAGAAAUCAGAGGAUAAGAGAGGUUAAAUGGUUUGCCCAGAAGCAGAGGCCGUUGAUUCCCAUGUCCAUUGCUGCUUCUGCAUACCCUGCUGCCUCCAUAGCAACAAUACAUUUUAGCAAAUUUCUCAUUAUUUUUAGGUACAACUCCUUCUUCCAUACUCCAGUUUUAUCUGUUACCCUCUGGGCUAUGAUUAGUUGGAAACCUAAUUAGUGAGCUAGUGACAAUGAGGGUUUACAUAGAGCAGAUCAUUAUUUUCUUCCCAGUGAAAAGCAAUUCAGAGGGACUUGAAGGUCAGGGGUUCUCCAAAUCCCCUGGAUUCUUCAAGACAUUUUGAUGAUAUUAUCUGGAUGAUAAUAAUAAUGGCUAAACAUCCAUUGGACACUUAUUUUCUACACAUUUAACUUGUAUUAAUUCAUUUAAUUCCCACCUAAUGACCUUGUAAGGUAGAUAUUAUCAUCCCUAUUUUACAAGUAAGCAAAAGGGAAAACUGAGGUACAGAAAGGCUAAGGCUACUUUUGCAAAAACCAGUUAGUGAAUACUAAAACUUAAAUUUGAGCCCAAGCAGAAUGACUCUGGAGGCUGGUUGUUAACCACUCUGGUGCAAUAAUUUCUUUAAUUAAGAAGGAAAGAUGGGAGAAUGGGUUAUUUGAAAGGGCAGCAUGUCGGAGCCUAUCACCCCUCAACAAAUCUCCACUAAAGGAUCAACUCCCGAAAAUUCUUCUCAGGGGUUCUGCUUCUCUGAAAAGAUGAGGGACCAUAAGAUCUUCACCUUCCCAAACAUAAUGUGCAGAAAACCUCCCAGGGCCUUUGACAUCCAGGCUCUCAAUAAUGUAAAUAAAUGCAGGUGGCAGGGUCUAACUACCCAGUAACCCAUGAACCAUUAAUUGGAGCUAUUUUCAGCUUCUAGGGAGCAAUUCCAACUGCAAGAUUCUCUGUAAUAAAGGUCUGAUGAAUCAGCUGGUAUGGGAGAGGGGGCAUAUUUGAGAAUUCAGUAGGUAAAAAUAGCAUUAAAAUAAUUCAAGCCGAGAAGAAACAUGACUGAUGAAGCAGUAUGUCAGGACAUCUUCAGUCAGUCAAUCAACAGGCUUAACUGAGGUCCCAGCACUCCUGCCUAGAGGACAGAUGUUAGUAUUGAGAAGGGAUAUAAAAGGGACAAAAGAAACACAUGGUCUCCUCCCUCCAUGAACUAAUGAUCCACAAUAAACCUCAGUGGUCCAGGGUAGUUGGCAGGAAAGAUGUUCUGGUCAAUAAAAUAUGCUAGUUAGUUUGGCAUUGCCACAUAGAUCAUUCAAGGAUUGUUAAUUUCCUAGAAUUAGAAUAAAAUAAUAUAGAUGCCAUAUUUUUUAAAGAAUCAAAAACUGAAUAAAAACAUCAAGAAACUUGUGAUCUUCUCUGGUAUCUGUAUCACCAGGCUUCCUUUUCAGAUGUUCUCCCUUAAUCCCAUUCAACACUUCCCUUACCAUCUCUUACUGUUGAGCAACAGCAUCAUCUUCUCUCCAUGUCCAAGCCUGCCAAACCUCCUGACAGGAGACACUCUGCAGGUACUGAAAUCUUGAUACAGACAAUGUGUUUUUACAUUUAAUGACGUUCAGACUCUUGAACAAAAGAUAUGCAUUUCCAUGGUGAAUUUUGGUCAUUUGUUAAUUAAAUAGGGAAGGUUUUGGGGAGCAGGCAGUACUAAGUUUUUCUUCAUAUAUCUCAACAUUGUUCAAAAGGUUAAACCAAAAAAUUA
This 3611-nucleotide long non-coding RNA is filed under the name Homo sapiens (human). RNAcentral describes it as "HSALNT0031606". The record is from RNAcentral. Lineage: Eukaryota; Metazoa; Chordata; Mammalia; Primates; Hominidae.